UUUUUGGUCUUUUUCGGUGGAAAAAAAAAACCCUAUGUUCUUGAAAGCUUAAUGGUCGAUCUAAGAAUCGAUGAUAAAAUUGUUCGAUUAUCAACGUAUUACGUCUGCGUUUAUCAUCUUUCUAUCUCAAAAUCGGAAUUCUUCAUAGAGGUAAUCUUUUAUUUAUUCAGAUUUUGAAAUUUUUUUUAUCUAAAUUUGUAGAUUCGAUUUCGAUCUUAGAAAUUUCCAAUUUGAACAGAGAUAUUGGGCAAUAAAUUUGAAGAACCCUGACUUACAUGAGUUAGGAUUACCAAUUAUAGUCAAAAUUUUUGAUUUCAAUUAAUUUUAUAAGAAAUCGCAAAUUGAUUUUCAAUUUUAUUUGUGUUUACCAAGUAAAUCAAUCUAUCUUCUUAGAUCUGCAAAGCCAUUGAGUUUAUAGUUUUUAUAAUUUCAUAGUGUAAAGAUUUUAACAAAAUCUUUUGUUUCCUUAAAAGGUUUAACAUUUAACUUUUUCUAAAUGGAUUUCAGAUUAUUACGAAGAUGAUGAUAUUGCCAAUAGAAGACGAUUUACAAAGAUAAGUUCUCUGUUACGAUUUAUUCUAUCACAAAAGAUGUUUUAAAUAUAUAUGGUACUGAAGUUAGAUAAUUCAAUGUUUACAGACCAAACUCAAAUCUUUAAAGAAGGAAAAUUUGAUGUCGUUUAAAGCCAGUCCAAAUUCUGAAAUCACUGUUAAAGGUUAGUGAUGUGUUAAUGAUUCAAAUUUGGUGUAAUCUAUUCCCAAUAUUUAGCUAUUGUUAGUUGUGUCUCUUUCUGAAUUAGCAUGUUUUAUGAAAUAUACACUUAUCGUGAUGUGUCAAUUGUUUUUCUAAAAUGAUUUUACUAUAUUCUCUGUUGGAUGAUAAGAUAUUAAAGUAAUAAUACUUGUUUAUAUGAAUUAACAGAAUUUUUAGAUUCUGUAUAUGAUUUCUUCUUAGUAAACUUGUAAUAGUUUACCUAUUUGUACUUAAUAUGAUGUAAAUGUAAAUGAAAACUUUUUUAAAACAAAGUUAUGCUGAUAUUAAUAAUAGAAGUUUAUGAAUUUGUGUAAAAAGAGAAUUGAGAGAAUAACAGACCAAGUUUGGUAAAAUAAUCUCUUCAAUGGAAGUCUUAGAUUGAAGAGAUUACUACCAAAUUUCCAUUUCCAUGCCAGCUUCUACCUGUUCAGACAACCAAUAAAAAAUUAGUAAAGUGUAAUUGCUGACAAUAAUAAUCAGUUUUUAUUGAUUGUUAUUGUUUGUUACCUUGUAGACCAAAUGUUUCUUGCUUUCUUUAGUCUUAUAGGUUCUGAAAAACUUCCUUGAACACCACAUUCAUUGUUUCCUUUUGCGGUUUCCCUUCUUUGUCCACUAUGAGGAUCUUCAGUCCUGUCUUUGAAGUUACCCUUGAGAUAGCAACAUAGAGUUGGCCAUGAGAAAAGCAUGGUCUAGGUAGAUAGAUACCAACGUUAUUCAAAGAUUGCCCCUGACUUUUAUUAAUGGUCAUUGCAAAAGCAACUGCUAUUGGAAGUUGUCUUCGACGCAUUUUGAAAGGGAGUUUACUGUCAGAUGGAGAAAUCAAUAUCCUAGGAAGGAGGACUUUAUCUCCAACUCUAUCACCUGUAAUAAUCACAGCCUCAGUAACUUUAUCACCUAAUUGUGUUAUUUGAAGCCUGGUCCCAUUCAUUAAACCUCCUCUUGGAUCUAAGUUUCUUAGUAACAUCACAGGGCAACCAACUUUCAACCUUAUACCAUGAUUAGGCAAUCCAGAUAUCUUGAGACUGUUCAAAAACUCUGAUGUCAACACUGGAUUAUUUUUACCUCCAAUAUCUGAAGGAUCAACAGAAUCUGAACUUAGGUAUAAAUGUUCAUCACCUACACACAAAUUAAGAUUUACUUUAAUUCAUAUAUCUUUAGAAAUCCUAAAACAUUAAGAGUAAUGGAUACUAACCUUCGAGUCGAUCAAGCAUAUAAUCGUUGAUCAUACACACAUCUUCAUUGGUAGGACACAAAAUCGCCCUCUGUUGGAAAAAAACAGGAUCUGUUUUGUCCUUCAAUAACUUAGGAUCUCCAUAAACUUCCCUGCUUAUUGCCUCAAUUGGAUUUUCAGCGUUUGUGAUUAAAAACUCUUCUGGAAUUUCUAUCAUAACUUCUCCAUCAUUAGGCUGUGCUAUCUUACCAUCACCUACUGCUAGAAUCCACUCUGAAAAUUCCUUUAGAUCAUUCACCUCACUUGGAGUCAAAUCCUUUGAAAGAAGCCGCAUAUUUUUCGUGAGCUUCAGAACUUUACAAUGAUUCCAAAUAUAAGAAGCAUUAAGUGCAGCCAUACAAAUUUCUGCCCUCCCAGCACCAUGUAUCACAGGUAGUACCUGUCUGAAAUCACCACCAAAAACAACAACUUUGCCACCAAAAGGUUUGUUUCCACCACCUUUAAUAAUGUCAGACAAGCUCCUAUCCAAUGAUUCAAAACAAUGCUUACUCAUCAUAGGAGCUUCAUCCCAAAUUAUCAAAGACGAUUCUUCUAUUAAUUCUGCCUGAUUUGAACCUUUCUCAAUAUUACAUACAGUGAAGUCGUCAGGAUUUAAUGGAAUACCAAACCGAGAGUGCACUGUUCUCCCACUAGGUAACAGUAGAGAAGCAAUGCCACUGGAAGCAACAUUUAGCACAAUUGAACCUCUAGAUCUUAGAGAAGCUGAUAGUGUCUUAUAUAUAAAAGUUUUACCAGUUCCACCAAAUCCAUAGACAAAGAAGACACCUCCCUUGUCAUUAUCAACAGCAUCGAUGAUCUCUGAAUAAACACUCUUCUGCUCAUCCGUCAUUUUUUGCAAGGAUUCUUCAAGUAUUUUCUUCUGUUCUUUGCGAUCAUAGUUUUUUUCGUCAAGUAUCAGGACGUUACUAUCAUCAAUUUCCUCAUCAGGUAACUGAGGCAUUGUUUUGAAAGCUGUUAGAGAUGUUCCAUUGCUUCUUAAGAUGCUGUUGAUUUCUUUUAAAGCUAAAAUCUGUUUUUGCUCGUCCGUAAGUGUUAGUUCUGCGUCCCAAUAAAUCAAAACAUGUUCAUAAGUAAGACAGAAUAAUCAUGGUAUAAAGUAAUACAAUUUUUUAAUAACCACUAUUUAAACAAACCAAAGAGGCUGACUUUUUUUUAAACACAAAUUUACCUGGUCGGUUGAAGUACUCUCUCCUUUUUCUUUCGAUAUCUUCUGAGAGGAUUUCCCAUGUUUUUUCCCAAACUACUUCCGGUUGAGAUAAGCUUGUUGACUGGAGCAUUACAACAAACAUACAACGCAAGUAGUUUCCAGUGGCCCAGAAACUGGUAGUUUUGAUGGUAUCAAUAUACUCCUGGUCAUCGUCUAGCAAACCCAAAGCAUAACAUGUCUCCUUGAAAGUCUUGUAAACAACGCCAUUCACUGUUUUUAUGUCAUCAAAACUUUCAGGUCCUGUUUGGGUAUUAAGAAGCACUCUUAAAUAAUAACCUUCCUCAUAAAUGAGUGGAACAUAAUUUAUCCUUCCUAUUGUAUUUCCUGGUUGCUUCCUCAUAUUGAAAUUUCUAGUUUUUCCAUCCCAAGUAAAAAACUCUGGAAUCUGAGUGUAUGUGAGACCUUUUGCUUUUGGACACCGCUUGUUCAACUCAAACCAAGCUAGAAACAUUGAAUUUUGUAAUUCUGAACGUUGGAGAACUGUUUUCACCUCAUCAUCAGCUUUGAAGUAUAAUAGUUGUUUUCCUGGUAGAUGGAAGGAUAAUCUCUGAACAGACGUUGACCUAUAAUGUAUAGGAUGUUUCAAUAUUCUCCAUCCAGCUUCACAUGUUGAUACAUAUCUGAAAAAACUCCAUAAAACACUCUAGUUAGAAUUUAGUAGUAUUUAAAGCUUAUUUUGUUAAAAAAAUAGUUUUAUACCUGUAAUUGAAGAAACAGUCUUCCCCAAUAUAUGUUUCUUCGUUAAAUCAUCCAUUAGAGAAUUCAGCUUCAUUUUGAACAUCCUGCUUAUGAUCUCUGGCCUAUCAUCGGAAUUACAAUUUCUUUCAGUACAGAAUCUUACCAAUUCUGGCCAUUUUGGAUUGCACGUGAACGUAAUGAAUAGAUCUGGAAAUCCAUAAUGAUUGCAUGUAGACAUUGCAUCCAUGUACAUAUUCUUCAUGUAUCUUGGACCACCAACAAAAGUAGCUGGUAAAUAAAAAGCUUUUCCUUCUUCAUUCAUAUCAUUCUUUCCUGAAGAUGCCGCCUCUUUAACAGAAUCAUAGUUAGAAGCUCUCAAACUUGACUGAUUCAGCUUAAUAUAUUUCAGCCUAUUGGCCUCAAUUGUAGUGUAAGCAUCAACCAAGAAAUGUUGGAACAACCGUUUUGACCUUAGUAAGAGACUUGGUUCAUUCUUUCUCUCUUGAAUACGAAACGCAUACCAUUGACGCAAGCUUAUGCACUUAUUCUCUUCAGUUUCUUCUUCCUUGUUCUUCUUUUUACCAUGAUUAUUUCCUUUUAAAAUACCUGGUCUAUAUCCAUCCUCACCAUUUGGAAACAGCAAAGGAUAUUGCAGAGCAAGAUAACAUGGUUCUAUUUCACUGAUUCUUUGUAAAAACCCAGAUUUUUCUUCAAUAACAAUGUCACGACUUGGCAUACCAAUAUGAAAAUCACCUGGAAUCAGCGCUGCAACCUCUGAAGCUGUUGGUACUGAAUAUGUUCUUCCAUCUUUGACACGAUUGCUUACUAUUUUCAUGUGAAAACUCUGUUCAGGAUUGGUAUUAAACCUGUCACGAGCUUGCCUAAAAUGCUCAACGUAUGGAUUAACAUCAUUUAACAGCUUAAUUAUGGCCUCAAUGAUUUCUUUUCUCAGCUUUGGCUUCUUCUUAUACUUCUCAGUUGAUUUCCCUUUGCUGCAACAUAAAAGGGACCUAGUUAGCAACGUCAUUCCAUUGUAGAUAAAACAUGUUAUAUGGAAACUCUGUUUGCUAGUUUUAAAAUAGCAAACAUACCUUAAAAUUCCUGCUCUGUUUUCAACUUCAUUCUCUGUAUCAACUAUAUAUAGUUGACUGAACUUAGGAAACUCACCUUCUCCAGGUUUCAAACUUCCCAUUUGAUGGUAGUUCUCUCCUUGAAUUUGAAACAUAUUAGGACCACGACCUAAAGUAACAGAGUUAUCACAUUUUCCUCCAAGAGAAGUAAAUGAAAAAAUCAUGUUAUAGGCUCGGAUGUUCUCUCUAAAGUGUCUACUCAUGUCAUCAUCAUUGGUUAGCAACGCAAAUAACAACUCUGGUUGAUUACAAAGGAAAGGCAAUUUGACUGAUCCUUGCAAACAACACUGAGUAAAUAUUGGUUUACGAACUUUCUUGUGUCUGUUAAUGCGUUCUCCAUACCACAUUAUAGCACCACAAUACGAACAUGAGUAGAUAGGAUCUCCAUGAUCUAGGUACUCUACAAUAACAGAGACAAAAAUCAGAAAUCUAUACUUUAUGUAAUCUUGGUUUCAGAAAAUAUUCAAAAUUAAUCUCCUUAGAUAAUACCUGUGUUUUGUUUAUUUCUGCUAGAAACAUUAGUAGUUUUCCUUUCUCCAAAAGCUUUAGUCAAACUUUCAUCUAACAUUGACAAAAACUCGUAUCUUUGCUUGAGUUCAGUAGGGAUAUCCUCUAUGUUUUGAUAAUCUGAUUCUGAUGUUUCGGAUUCAGUUUCAUCUGCACUACUGCAAUCGUAAACUUGUUCACGUGAUUCUUCCAAACCGCCUAUUUAUGUUUUUCAAACAGAUCAGUGAAUGAAUGCUUGUUAAGUUUAGUAAAAAUAUAUCAUAGAAAUUCACACUUACAUUUGCUUUGAUAAUCAAUCAUAUUAAUAUAUGUUUCUUCUUCAGAAUGCAGGACUUCAUCAUUGUGUUCUUCAUUGAUUGGACAGAGUGGCGUAUUGUUUGAUGUAUUCUUCUCCUUUGCAAUAGACUUGGCAAACCUCAAAGAGUUUUGUGGUUUGGUAAGUGUAAUACCCUUAGUAGCUACAUUUUAUAAAAUUCAACUAUUAGUUUUCUUCUAUUAAACCUGUUGUGUUAAGACCCAGGUUUGAGAAAAUACAUUUUCAGAUGAAUAAAUUAUAAUUUGUAUACCUUGUUUGCUGUUAACAGAUGGAGGACUAUACUUUUUUGCUUUCUUUUCUGGUGCUUUUUUUGGAUUCAUCGGUGUAUGUUGAACCUCACUCAAUAUAUCUGCUGAGUUUGAAAAAUUCUGCAGAUCUUGAAAAGGUCUUCUCUGACUCCUAGCAUUUUUUUUUGCUGAUCUUAGAGUCAUAUUUGUAGUAACCGUAGAUUCAUCGCCUAAACCAUUAUUGUGCCAGCAUAGUUAGUUUCAUUAAUAAAUGGUCUGUUUAACAAAACCAUGUUAACAUACCUAUUGUUUCCUGUGGCAUAUAUGUUGAAGAAGAAGGACCAGUUUCCGUCAGAGGAGACAGAGUAGACCUUGCCUGUGAAGGUAUGUUACUUAUUCCAACCAUUAGUCUAUCAAAAAUUCCUUUAACUUGAACAUCACUCGUAUCCAGAUGGUUCUGUUGAUUUGGAUUGAUGUUUUCAUCAUUCUGCUGAGACCUAGACCGCUUUGGUUUAGGUGUCUGCUGCACGUUCAAAUUUUCUUUGAGAGUUGUGUUUUUCCGUCUCUUCAUUCUGUUGAAAAUCAAUAAAUAGGUUAGAAAUGUUAAAUAGUAUUUGUUCUGUGAAAAAGACUGAUAUUAUUCUUCUAAGAUCUUAAGAAAAAACCUUUAAAAUGGUUGUUUCAAUAUCUUCGAUUAGGAGAAUAGAUGAAGAUUAAAAGUGGUAAUUGGAUUAGAAGUGAUCUGACCAUAAAUCCAAACAACCAUAUUUACAGUGAUUUCGUAUAACUGAAAAGAUUAUAAUUAUAUAUGACAUAUUUUGUUUUCCAUAUGGAAUUGCAAAUCUACUUGAUUGCUCCUUUAUUUAUUUUUAGAAUCUUUUAUUAAAGAUCUCAUACUCUUUUGUUGAUCUCGUGUUUUGUUAUUUAAAGAUUAUUAUUAUUUAUGCUAAAUCAGUAUUGUUUAAUAUAUUCAUUCUAAUACCAUUAAUUAGUUUCUUCAUUGUAUGUCAUUAGUUUCUUCAAUGUUUUUAACAGUUUGUUCUACAUCAUCUUUUUCAGGUUUUGAUAUUUAGAUGACAACUCUAACUUAUAGAUUUCCUAUUUUCAAGUUAAUUGCCGCUUUAUAAUUCUAAGGUUAGUUAUUUUUUCUUUUGAUUUGAUCAUGUUCACGUGUCAAAACAUAUUACAUAAAUAACAUGGGAAUCUGUUUCAUGUUUGCAGAUUUUUUUACCUACUAUAAGUUAUGGAUCAAGUUCAAAUUGCAAUCCAAUUAUAAGGUUAGUGAACUCUUAUUUUUUUGCUUAUUCAUCUUUGAAAAAUCUUAUAGUUUUUAUUGGUAGUUAGUAAAGAACUGAAAUUAAGCAGAAACUUGGUAGAUAUUAUUCAACAAAAUAAAUCUGAUUUGAAGUAGAAAGUUGCAUAGGAAACAAAUAACAUCUGAAAUUUUAAAAACUUGAAGCAAAGAAAAAACCAAUAAAAAACACAUCUCAAACCAAGCUCCCUACAUUAUUCCAAUACAUCACUACUUAUUUCUUCCCAACUUCAAUCUCUUCCUUCUCAAUGUCACCAAGAAUGGAAGGAACACAUGCUUUUUUAGUAGUAGAACUCUGACCUUCACAGUCCACAGAACAGUCAUCAAUACUACGCUUGGAAGAAGGAGUAGAUGAUGUAGGACCAUUAGCAUCUGUGGUUUCACUGCUAUAGGUCAAAGCAAGUGCGUCCUAUUAAUCCAAGAGAAAACAAUUAGUCAAACAUUUACCAUGAUUAUUAUGAAUAUAUUAGGAUACAAAUUACUCAGUUAUCUAUAGAUACAUCCUAGAUUUGUUAGUAAUAUCACAGGGUACUCACUAAUUAAGUGUAACAACGAUCCAGCCCUUUAGAGAUAAACUUGAAAAGGUUUUUGAUAGAAUGAUUUUGGUUGCAUCUACUAACAUUACCUGAUCAAUAGAUAGAUCAUUAUGUUGGUCAGUCGGCUGGUCAGAAUCUUCAAUAGUAUCUAGAUUAUCAAAAUCAUUACCCAGCCAAAUAGUGGAAACCUUGUAGGUAUCAUCUGUUUCAUUGAUGUUUUCUUUUCCAACAGUCACCAGAAAUUGGAAAGUCUUUCCAACCAAAUCUUUGAUUGGCUGAGGCAAGUUUGUUGGAUCCUGAAUCUGUUAUCACAAUAGCAACAUAAUAUUUUAGAUGUAGGACAAUUAUUAUCUACAUAACUUACACAUGAUCAUUUGUUUACCUCAUCCCAGUUUCCUUCAAGCAGAUCUUCAGCAGAAACGCCAAUGAUCUCUUGUGCAUUUUUAUCAAAGAUCAGAAAAUUGGUGUCACCAGUGCUAUCCAUAACUCCCACGUUUAAAAGGUACCUUCAUAUAAAAAGAUUUUCAUACAAAGUUAGAUAGAUAGUUAUUAACUAACAUAAUAGCUAUAUAAUCAAAUGGGAAAUUGUUACCUUGGAACCACCUUAGGAGUGUCUUCCUUACAUGUUGGACACCAAAACAUUUCUUUCUUACCUUUUUUGGCAAUCUCAUUUUCCACUUUUGGUAUCUUAUAGGCAGUUUUGUGACACUUCAGACAACAAAAGAAAUACCACGAGUAGUCUGUGUCGAUCUUCAUUAUGGUAACAAUUAUGUUGCAUUUCCCAAUCUAUACAUAAUAAUAGAGAAUUAGUAUUUUAAACAUAAUUAUUACUAAUAGAGGCAAUUAGUAUUAAUCACAACUAUUACCUCAGAAAAACAAAAGAGUCCAGAGAUGGUUUUCCUUGGAAAACGAUCAUAGUAUUCCUUUUUUUUCAUCAGUUGAUUCCCAUGUUUUGGCUUAACUUCUUGGAUAGCCAGAGGCAUAGCAUCAGGGGGUAAACUACAUGACAAUUAAAAAAAAAAAUCAACUUAUCAUAAUAUCAAUAGGAUAUACAAUCUAAUUAUUUUCAAAAGCAAUAUUAAGUUUGCCCCUAUCUUACUUGGCCACAAAUUCAAGAACAGCAGGGUAGGUAGCAUUGAUUUCCAACAGAGACAUGUCAAAUGCAUUUGAAACUGAUCUUUCACCUAACAAAAUGAGUACUAUUAGUAUAAAUAUAUUCUGUGAUCUGCCUUUAAAAAUCCCAAAAAUGUUUUAUCAAAAACGUUUUAUACCUUUGAAUGAAUUGAUCUUAGCAAGACGAAGUAAGGCAAUCACCCUCUCAGUGCCUGCAUUUUGACAUGCAUUCCACAUUGCCUCAGCAAAUCUCCCCCAAAGAGUACAUUUCAGCCGUUCAUCACUAUAUAAGAAAAUAAGUUGUGAGAUAAUUGUAAGUACAAAUAACAUAAGAUAUAUUAUAAUAGGGUAAAGCCAUAUGAAAUUACUUUGUGUCUCUGAGUUCAAGAUCAAGUUUCUUUGUGAUUUUGUUGUUAACAUCAUGAGUUUUCAUCUCAUUGAAACUAACAACCUGUCCAAGUACAUCUACAAAAUUAAGAAAUUAAUAUUUGGUUUUUGAUGAAUAUCUAUUAUUAAAAUAUGCAAAGAAUAAUAACUAAAAAUAAAAAGAAAAAUAUAUUACCAAUUAAGAUGUUUUCAUUCAAUCCUCCUUCAUCCAAAACAUCUUGAAAGUUUGCCAGAUCCAAAUAAAUGUCAUUAGAAAGAGGAGGAGUUCGAGUUAUUACAGUUUUUUGCAUCAUGGACAUUUUGAAACCAUGUUUAGUUGCACGGUAUUUUCCUGUUGACUUGGCUAGUGUAAAUUUCUCGAUAAUACGCCACUCCCCAGAGGUAAUGAACCUUUGCAGUUUGUUCAAUUGUUGCUUCUUAAUGGUAGCAUGGAUCAAAGUACCCUGAAUAUUGAAAAAUAAGUCAUGUUAAACAUACAAAACUAUGGUGUAUAUAUGAUACACGAUUAUUUGUAUAUAAGAAUGAUAUAGUUACUUACAGAGGUAUCAGCAAGAAUCAUUUCGACGGUUUCUCCAGUGUAUUGAGUGUAUUGAGUCCAAGAAUGGACAAUUUUAACUUGAAUUCUCCAUUCUGUUUUGAAAGGUUUGACAUCAGCAAGGGUGGUGAAUGCUAGCUCAGCUGCCAUUUUCUUAGUGGGAUUGUGUAGAGAAAGAGUGAAAGCUUGAGAAGGUGAGUUUAACAUAACAUUGGAUCAUAUAUUUAUACUAAUCGAAAUACGGCUAUAAUUUUCUAGGUUUUAGAGAAUUAUCGGGGAAGAGGAUAAAUGCGAAUAGAAUAUUUUAGGUAUAUAAUUGAUAUUAUGCUAUUUUUUGGGUAUGAUUUAGAACAAAUAUGGAUUUGAAAAGAUUUUAUGAUUUUAAAUAUAAAAAAAAAGGAAGUUAAUUGUUUUCGUUUAUAUGGAAAGAUUUUUUCAGCACAAGGAAAUUAUUUAAUUGCAUUUUAAUUGAUAGCAUCCCGGAGAUUUUGUGAUGAUUUAGAAAUUAUAUGGAGUUGUUUGGAUUUGGAAAAUUUUUGUAUCUUUGAUUAUGCAAAAUUUAAGUUGUGAUUGAUAUGGAAAUAGAUUUGAUUACGUGUUAUAAUAUUAGAAUAAGUUUAUCCUUAAUCGGGUUGAUUACGUGAUUACGGAAUAUUUUUGAAUAGGGUUGUUAUAUAGAAUAAAUGAUUUUCCGAAUUUUAAGUUGUGCUUGAUAUAAAAAUAGAUUUAUUUACGUGUUAUCUAACUAAUUUUCUGUUUAAUGUUUGUAGAUAUGUUACAUAAGGCCUGAUAUUAACAAUGGGCCAAUUAACAUAAAGCCCAGUUGUGUUUUACCGCAGAUGUAUCAGCGAUCCGUCUCAUUUACCAGAUAGAUAUCCGAUUCAAUCUCCAAGAUCCGCGUCCUUUUGAGUCCCAAUUGUCAAUUAUACCCCUCGACGAAAUUCUGUGUUUUCACUUGAAAUACUAAAAUUCUAAUGGCAUCUAUUGUAAUUAUUUACCCUUAGUGAGGUUAGAUAUUAUGUAAUCCUUCCCAAUUAAUAGAAUAGAUGUUGGGAUUAUAAUAUUUUAUUAAUUAUAAAAGAAUUAUUUUAAGUGUU
Molecule: long non-coding RNA, 11029 nt
Filed under: Arabidopsis lyrata
Lineage: Eukaryota; Viridiplantae; Streptophyta; Magnoliopsida; Brassicales; Brassicaceae
Description: long non-coding RNA (ALYR_LNC001894)
Source: RNAcentral